Molecule: ribosomal RNA, 731 nt
Filed under: uncultured Acidobacteriota bacterium
Lineage: Bacteria; Pseudomonadati; Acidobacteriota
Description: bacterial SSU rRNA
Rfam family: Bacterial small subunit ribosomal RNA
Source: RNAcentral
GUCGAACGAGAAAGUGGAGCAAUCCAUGAGUACAGUGGCGUACGGGUGAGUAACACGUGGGUAAUCUACCCUUUGGUGGGGAAUAACUCUGGGAAACUAGAGCUAAUACCGCAUAAUCCCGAGAGGGAAAAGCAGCAAUGCGCCGAAGGAGGAGCCCGCGGCCGAUUAGCUAGUUGGUAGGGUAAAAGCCUACCAAGGCUGAGAUCGGUAGCCGGCCUGAGAGGGCACACGGCCACACUGGCACUGAAACACGGGCCAGACUCCUACGGGAGGCAGCAGUGGGGAAUCUUGCACAAUGGGGGAAACCCUGAUGCAGCGACGCCGCGUGAGCGAUGAAGCCCUUCGGGGUGUAAAGCUCUUUCGGCAGGGAAGAUUAUGACGGUACCUGCAGAAGCAGCUGCGGCUAACUACGUGCCAGCAGCCGCGGUAAUACGUAGGCAGCAAGCGUUGUUCGGAGCUACUGGGCGUAAAGGGUGUGUAGGCGGCUUCCUAAGUUUGGUGUGAAAUCUCCCGGCUCAACCGGGAGGGUGCGCCGAAUACUGAGAGGCUAGAGUGCGGGAGAGGAAAGUGGAAUUCCUGGUGUAGCGGUGAAAUGCGUAGAUAUCAGGAGGAACACCGGUGGUGUAGACGGCUUUCUGGACCGUAACUGACGCUGAAACACGAAAGCGUGGGUAGCAAACAGGAUUAGAUACCCUGGUAGUCCACGCCCUAAACGAUGCAUAUUUGGUGUG